This 161-nucleotide small nuclear RNA is filed under the name Capsicum annuum. RNAcentral describes it as "U1 spliceosomal RNA". It matches the Rfam family "U1 spliceosomal RNA". From Rfam's summary of the family: U1 is a small nuclear RNA (snRNA) component of the spliceosome (involved in pre-mRNA splicing). Its 5' end forms complementary base pairs with the 5' splice junction, thus defining the 5' donor site of an intron. There are significant differences in sequence and secondary structure between metazoan and yeast U1 snRNAs, the latter being much longer (568 nucleotides as compared to 164 nucleotides in human). The record is from Rfam by way of RNAcentral. Lineage: Eukaryota; Viridiplantae; Streptophyta; Magnoliopsida; Solanales; Solanaceae.
AUAAUUACCUGGACAGGGUCAAUGGACGAUCAUGAAGGCCCAUGGCCUAGGUUGGUGACCUUCAUUGCACUUUCGAGGGGUGCCUACCUAAGGUCGAUCCAAGUGGUUGAGCCUACGUCAUAAUUUGUGGCAGCGGGGGCCUUCGUUCGCGUGACCCCUAC